UACGAAGGGGGCUAGCGUUGUUCGGAAUCACUGGGCGUAAAGCGCAUGCAGGCGGAUUGUUAAGUCGGGGGUGAAAUCCCGAGGCUCAACCUCGGAACUGCCUUCGAUACUGGCAAUCUUGAGUCCGGGAGAGGUGAGUGGAACUGCGAGUGUAGAGGUGAAAUUCGUAGAUAUUCGCAAGAACACCAGUGGCGAAGGCGGCUCACUGGCCCGGUACUGACGUUGAGGUGCGAAAGCGUGGGGAGCAAACAGG
Molecule: ribosomal RNA, 253 nt
Filed under: uncultured bacterium
Lineage: Bacteria
Description: partial 16S ribosomal RNA
Rfam family: Bacterial small subunit ribosomal RNA
Source: RNAcentral